AUUGAACGCUGGCGGCAUGCCUUACACAUGCAAGUCGAACGGUAACAGGUCUUCGGAUGCUGACGAGUGGCGAACGGGUGAGUAAUACAUCGGAACGUGCCUAGUAGUGGGGGAUAACUACUCGAAAGAGUGGCUAAUACCGCAUGAGAUCUACGGAUGAAAGCAGGGGAUCGCAAGACCUGGUGCUACUAGAGCGGCUGAAGGCAGAUUAGGUAGUUGGUGGGAUAAAAGCUUACCAAGCCGACGAUCUGUAGCUGGUCUGAGAGGACGAUCAGCCACACUGGGACUGAGACACGGCCCAGACUCCUACGGGAGGCAGCAGUGGGGAAUUUUGGACAAUGGGCGAAAGCCUGAUCCAGCAAUGCCGCGUGCAGGAUGAAGGCCUUCGGGUUGUAAACUGCUUUUGUACGGAACGAAAAGCCCCGGGUUAAUACCCUGGGGUCAUGACGGUACCGUAAGAAUAAGCACCGGCUAACUACGUGCCAGCCGCCGCAGUAA
This 498-nucleotide ribosomal RNA is filed under the name uncultured bacterium. RNAcentral's name for it is "partial 16S ribosomal RNA". It matches the Rfam family "Bacterial small subunit ribosomal RNA", at positions 30 to 523 of the family's 1533-position model. The record is from RNAcentral.